GUUGUUACUACUCUUCUCACUGUGUUUCAGUGUUUUGAUCAGGGGACUGGUUUUGCUUAUAGUCACAGAUGGUUUCUGUUUGACAGGCUGACAGGCAGACAAAGUAAAUAGGCAUGGAAAUAAAAUAUUCCUUUGUUUUGGUGAAUCAGGCCAAUGUCACCAGUUGUCAUGUGGGGUAGACACUGCUUGAUAAUGCUUCUGGAUGUGUUAGGAUGGGGAGAGGAUAUUGUAUAUAAUCAUGCACUAGAAUCUUGCAUAAUUCUUUCCUGGGCACAGGAAAUCUUGUUGAAGAUUUGAUCAACAAAUCUGAGUAUACUGUUAAAUUGCACUAUUGCUUUUACAUUUAAGGUGGUAAGUGGUGCCAUUAUAUAGCACUGUGAAAUUUUAAGGGGUUAGUCUGGAAAAAUCCCAUCUGGCAAAGAUGUGCUUGAUCCUGCAUAUCAAUAGGAGGACAAAUCAAUAGCAGGAUGAAAUGCUAGAUAAUUAUUGUGUGUCUGUGCUUAUAUCUAUUGGCUUGCCUUUGCAGUGCAUGAAAGGAAUUUUGCAAAAACAGAAAAACAAACAAAAACUAAGAACACAAACUGCUUUGGUCAGCAAAGAUGCAAAUACUAAUAUAGUGUAUAAACUUGUAACCUAAGUGUUAUAAACCUGUUUUAAUGACAACUUUCAUUAUUAUGAAAGGAGAAAUCCAAUAAAUCAAUAAGAAUUUUGAAAUUGUUGAAAUACUUUAGAUAAAAAUGGACUGUGUUAUGACUUUUGUGGAAGCUCUUGGAAAAAAGUGCCAUCUGGUUCUGUUCUCCCAGAAUUUGCAAAAGGCUGACUUUCUCACUUUUUUCAUCCGUGAAACCAUCUUUUGAUUCAUCUGAGCCUAGAUUUCGGUUGUUGAAGCCUAUCUACGGGCAGGAGGCACCUCAGAGCCAAGCAAAGUCCAGAGUCCCUGGCACUUCAUAUACUUUGGAUGUUCUUCAUUAAGACACGCAAUGAUGUUGCUUACAUGACCGAUGAGUUCCCUUGCCAUUUAGCAAGGAUGUAGAUGUCACCUUUCCAGAACAAAGGCAACGUACAAUUUCCUAAUAUCUGCAGGAAAGAGGGACUGUUCCUUAGCCUCUGCUUUCACUGCCCACCUCAGGACAGAUUGCUCCUGCCUCAGUGGUGUGGUGGGAAAUCUUCUUCCUAACAACUGAGGGCAUAGCCCAAGCCUGGUCUCAUGCCACAGCUUGUUGGGGCAUGCUUUAGUGUCCUGAUUCCUGUUUCUCUAGAGUCUCUUGUUCAUCCUCUGUCUAUUUUAUUGGCUUAUCUCUUUAUUUUAUUUUGUAGGAAUUGAGGUGCCUGCAAUUGAGGGCACCAGGAUGCAGCAGAUAUGGGUCUCCGGUAAAUAUUCAUUUCAGGCUUAGAAUGAAUGAAUCUUUCCAAAGACUUCAGAUAUUAUUUAGAAAUCAACACCAGUAUCAUAUAUUUCUCAAUUGAGCUACUGGUUUUCAUUAGGCUGGAAAACUCUUCUGUUGCUUGUUCAUGACGCAGUUCAUACUUGACCUUACUCUAUUGCUGCAUUUAGUUGCUCACUGGGCAAGACUUUAAUCCCCUACUAGCAAACUGAAGUCAUAUCAACACUCAAAUGCUGCUGUGAUCUGUUGCUACGUUAUCAAUGUGAAUAGAGUCUUGCUCCCUGACCCUUAGGCCAGCCCACGGAGAUGUACUACAUGGACAUACACAUUCUGCCUACAUGCAGUUCAUGUAGAAUAGCAAGCACUAGGCAGCACCCUUGAGAUUACUUGCAGAGCAAACAGAAAUAUUCAUACAAAAGAAUGAAGAUUGGGGCUGCUUUUUCACAUCAGUACUUCUGCUUUAAAAUAACCACAUUCUCUCUAUAUAUGAAAUGAUUGGGCCAGCCCAGUAACAGAGAGGAAGUUUAGCACAAAAAAAAAAAAAAAAAAAAAAAGCAGUUUAAAAAAAUA
Molecule: long non-coding RNA, 1955 nt
Organism: Anas platyrhynchos (mallard)
Lineage: Eukaryota; Metazoa; Chordata; Aves; Anseriformes; Anatidae
Source: RefSeq, a predicted model, not a curated record